RNA transcript from Chelonia mydas (Green sea turtle), 3556 nucleotides. It is a transcript of the gene named AGBL carboxypeptidase 4, with no coding region annotated. The transcript is spliced from 7 exons. Lineage: Eukaryota; Metazoa; Chordata; Testudines; Cheloniidae. The record is from RefSeq and is a predicted model, not a curated record.
UCACAAGCCACUGAACUGUGUGGGACAAAUUUCUCCUUGGUGUACCCCAGUGAAGCCAGUGGAACAACACCAAGCAUCAAUUUGUCCUGUUGUUUAUUUCUGCAGCUCUUCCUACUUCUAUUGUAACGAGAUACAAUCACUACAGCAGCUGUUAUUGUUUGAUCAGCAACACAAUCUUUGUUGAGAUUUCAUUUCCCUUGCAGCCCAAAUGCUAGAUUAUAUUUCUCAUUUAUGCCUUUUAGUGGACUUAAUUUGACAUUAAAUUACACACCAGCCUGGUGAUGCUCCACUGCUUGUUAAUAUAAAGUAGUGGCAUUUGAAACCCCAAACCUUAAAUGGAGGAUACAGAAGACUUUGUCCACGUUCAAGUAAUAAAUCUCCCAUUAGUAUAUGGGAAGUUUACAGCUGUUAUAAAAAUAAAAUGCAUGUAGCUAUCAGUUUGAUAUGUCUUCAUUGUCUGUUAAGUUUAUUCCUGGUCUUUUUAUGUACUUUAUAUACAUAUGGACAAAAUUUCUACCAUGGUUGGCUUUGUUUGGUUAUAUUUGUGUUGCAUUUUGUAAGACUAAAAACUAGUGUCCCUUGUUUUUAGGAUUCAUAUGCUGCAUGUUAAACUUCUCAAGUUAUUCCUAUUCACAAAUGACUCUCAGAACUGAAUAUAAUCCACUUGAAAUAAUUCUUGCUCCGCUUCUAAAAUGGAGGGGAGUACCACCUAGAGAGCAUGCAAGUGAACACAUCACAUAGGCGUGAACUCCAAAAUAUUCACAGUUCACUUUGGAUAAGUAUCCAGAAGCUCAGAUCUUUUCCAAACCUAUGGUAGACACCAGAAAGUCUUUCAGCCCUUUGAUUUCACACAACCCCUCUCCAUCUUGCUGUCCUCUUUGGAAAAGGAGACUUGGUAGUCCUCCUGUGUUUUCUCCGAGUAGCUCAUUUCACCUUUGAUAAGGAGUCAGCAGGGGCCAUGGGUUUUUCUACUCAUAACCAAUGGGCAAUGCUGUAGGAUAGGAAUGUGUCUCCAUCUUCGAGGGACUUGGGAGCCAAAAAAAAAAAAAAAAAAAGGUAAAUAGAAUAGUAUCAAUAGGUUUGCCAUGUGAUUAUGGUAGGAUAUGUUCUGCCUAUUUGGCUGCUAGGAAUUUUGGUAAUUUAUCUCCACUGUUUGUUACUGUGGGCAGGGGGCCACUGCUCCUAGUUCCUGCCUAGGGCACACAGUUGUAUCAUCUUGGCUCAGGCAACGGGAGGCUUUUGAGCUGCAGUCAGCCAGGUCCUACUCUUCCAGGAGAGGAGAAGAGAAGACCCUCUCCCAUUAGCCCCCUUCUCUGGGCCAAAAGGGGAGAUAAAUAACACAAGCAAAUUCCUGAAACUAGGUUACAGAGCCUAGGUUUAAAGGCUUGAUAUUCAAACAGACUUGACUGUCCCUGAUUCCAUGUGAAGACAGGGAAUUAAGUACCCUCAGCUCUGAGAAAAACAGACCUUAAAUGUAAACUCUGUUUUUCCAUUGAGUCCAAAUUAAUGUUGUGAUGGAUUGUUCUUAAUCCUGGGGAGCAAUCACUGACUUUGGGGGAAUCCUCUUCAGGGGCCUAACUAAGCCCCAAUAUUGAGUGUAACAUAAAUCGUUCAUAACUGAGUCUCAGCAGAGACGAGCUGGACGAGGUAGCAUGUUUAUUGGACCCCUUUAUGUUGGUGCGAGAGACCAGCUUUGGAGCCACCCCGAGCUCUUCUGCAGGCCCGGGUGGGACUCCUUGCCAUGGGCCAGCACCGGGAGUCAGUCCGCACUACGGCGUGUCCCUGCCCAGGGGCGGCUGCCGUGUGGACGGGGUUUUCUCGCACCGCUUUCCCCGAAGGCGGUGUGAGCUGGGCGCUCAGUGGGGCCGAGGCGGCGGCCAUGCACGCGGAGCGGCAACUGGGGGAGGCUGGAGCGCCCGGGGUCGGCUCGCGCCGCAGCCCUUCGCAGGGAACGAGCGCCGCGCUCCAGCCGGGCUUGCCUCCGCUCUGCGUUGGAUUGCUCCGGUCUGCCUGGAGCCCGGACCCGCUCGCUCGGCCCCAGCGGCGGGGCGCCCAGGCGCGCUCAGCCGAGCGCCGAGGCGCGCUUUCAGGAACAAUAACAGUGCAGGCGGCGAGGGGCCCGGCGCCGCCGCCGCCCCCCCCGCCCGCGCGCGCCAUGUACGCCUUUGUGCGGUUCCUGGAGGACAACGUCUGCUAUGCGCUGCCCGUCUCGUGCGUGCGGGACUUCAGCCCCACGUCCCGCCUCGACUUCGACAACCAGAAGGUGUACACGGUGUACCGCAACCCGCGCGAGGCGGAGGACGAGGACGAGAGCCCCGGCGACUGGGGCGACCGCCUGCUGCUGCACAAGGCCCAGAUCCUGGCGCUGGCAGAAGACAAAACUGACCUUGAAAACAGUGUGAUGCAGAAGAAAAUUAAAAUCCCCAAACUCUCUCUCAAUCACGUAGAAGAAGCUGGGGAGGUUACAGAUUAUGGGGAAGAAGAUGUGGAGCUUAGACACAGUAAGAGACAAGAUGGGAGGAAACAAAGUGAAGGUACACACAAAAGCAUCGAAGCAGUUGUUGCUCGCCUAGAAAAGCAAAAUGGGAUGAGUCUCAGUAGUAGUUCAAGCCCUGAGGAAACCUUUAUGGAGACUUCGGAAGGCAUUAACAACAUGGACGAUGCUGUAAUUCCUCGUGUUCUCUAUGAAGAAUUGCUGAGGAGUUACCAACAGCAGCAAGAAGAAAUGAGACAUAUUCAGCAAGAACUUGAGAGAACACGGAGGCAGCUUGUGCAGCAGGCAAAAAAGCUAAAGGAGUAUGGGGCGUUAGUGUCAGAAAUGAAAGAGCUCAGAGACUUGAACAGGAGACUUCAGGAUGUGCUGCUUCUGAGAUUAGGCAGUGGUCCUGCCAUUGAACUUGAAAAAGGAAAAUCAGAAUCCAUUGAGCCUGAGCCUGAGAUACAGAAAACAUUCAGUGAGGAAGCGAAUACAUCAACAUACUAUCCUGCCCCUGUUCCAGUAAUGGACAAGUAUAUUCUCGAGAAUGGAAAGGUCCAUCUGGGCAGUGGAAUCUGGGUAGAUGAGGAGAAAUGGCACCAGCUGCAAGUAACGCAAGGAGAUUCAAAGUAUACAAAAAACCUAGCUGUAAUGAUUUGGGGAACAGAUGUUCUCAAGAACAGAAGCGUCACAGGAGUUGCAACCAAAAAAAAGAAAGAUGCAGUUCCCAAGCCACCUCUCUCACCUCACAAAUUAAGCAUUGUCAGAGGUGUGACGGUAGAAGUGACUUGAAGGAGGAAAGGGUAGUGGCCUGACAGAUCAUUUUCAGUAAGGGUGUUCCAUGUCGUCUGGAAGAAAGCUCUAAGACUGUUCUGGGAGAUGUGGACAAAUGAAGGGGUUAAGAAUGUUUGUAUGACAGAAUAGCACAAGAAACUGUGGAUGAAACUGAAAUUGCACAGAGACUCUCCAAAGUCAACAAGUACAUCUGUGAAAAAAUCAUGGAUAUCAAUAAAUCAUGUAAAAAUGAAGAAAGGAGGGAAGCAAAGUACAAUUUGCAAUAAAUUUUGGAUUUUUAAUAAA